AGCCAUCACCCUAUUUUACACAACAGAAUUCAAGAAAAUACUCAUCCCGCACAGUACACAUCAAAACAGCCUUAUAUUAAUGCCCGCAAGGGCUAUACCUUUCGCACAUUACAGAAAAGCUUACAACUUGUCCCUUUCGCAUCAUGGAGAAGCAACAUAAAAUUAGCAACCUAAGCUCCCGAACAACUAUGAGCUACUAAAUCUUAAAAAUCAAUGUAUCACAAUUGAUAAAUUAACUUUUAGUAGGAGUGACAAGCCUUCCAUAUAGUUAAAUAGCUGGUUUUCCUACAAAAGCAUCAAAGUGCUACCUUAUAGAACACUGACAAUUCAUAAACCCCUAUAAAGGCUAACCUUCUGAGGAUUAGCUCGGAAGGGCUACAAAAAUAUAUAAAUCCUAUUACCCAAAAGUAGGCUUAAAAACAGCCACCCAAUAGCGUUCCAGUUAAUGACUCACCUCAAAACACAAUAUCCAAUCACCAAUUUAAAACCAACAAAGGAACUUAGCGUAGAACAUACUCACACUAAUGAACCGGCAUUCUAUUAGUAUUUAUUCAACACUUAUCCAAAAAUUAAACAAAAUCGAACCCUAAAAAUCCAACACCAAAAACUAUAUAGAGUGAACUCGGCAACAAAGUUCUCUGCCUGUUUACCAAAAACAUCGUCUUCUGAACUUAUUCAUAGAAGAUAAUGCCUGCCCAGUGAAAUAUUUAAACGGCCGCGUUAGCGUGAGCGUGCUAAGGUAGCGUAAUAAAUAGCCUCUUAAUUGGAGGCCAGUGAAUGGCAAGACUAGGAACACCUGUACCCUUUAUAUCAAAAAAACUUUUCAUCUAAGUGAAAAGACUUAGAUAGCAAAGGAAGACGAAAAGACCCCGCGGAACUUUACUUUUUCUCGUAUCCACGCCAAGGAGCACAAAGAUACAAAAAGUUGGAUUUGGGGCAAUCUCGGAACCUCCAAGCUUCCGAUCUAUGAAAAAGAAAAUUCAAAAUUUGAUAUAGACAAAAUAGAAGUUACCCCGGGGAUAACAGCGUUAUCCAACUUAAGAGUACACAUCGAAAGUUGGGUUUGCGACCUCGAUGUUGGCUUAAGGACAUCCACAUUAGUGCAACCGCUAUGGAGGGAUAGUCUGUUCGACUAUUACACCCUUACACGAGCUGAGUUAAGACCGGCGCAAGCUAGGUUGGUUUCUAUCUCCUUUAAAAUAUUCUUCUUGAUUGUACGAAAGGACCCCAAGAGAUGCACCCAAUAUAAGCACACUUUAAACUCAUUACCUCUUUAAACAAAACUACAACUAUAAU
Molecule: ribosomal RNA, 1296 nt
Filed under: Solenaia carinata
Lineage: Eukaryota; Metazoa; Mollusca; Bivalvia; Unionida; Unionidae
Description: large ribosomal RNA subunit RNA
Rfam family: Archaeal large subunit ribosomal RNA (bases 852-1195)
Source: RNAcentral